Molecule: ribosomal RNA, 492 nt
Filed under: uncultured bacterium
Lineage: Bacteria
Description: partial 16S ribosomal RNA
Rfam family: Bacterial small subunit ribosomal RNA
Source: RNAcentral
AGUGAACGCUGGCGGUAGGCCUAACACAUGCAAGUCGAACGGCAGCACAGUAAGGGCUUGCUCUUACGGGUGGCGAGUGGCGGACGGGUGAGGAAUACAUCGGAAUCUACUUUUUCGUGGGGGAUAACGUAGGGAAACUUACGCUAAUACCGCAUACGACCUACGGGUGAAAGCAGGGGAUCUUCAGACCUUGCGCGAUUGAAUGAGCCGAUGUCGGAUUAGCUAGUUGGCGGGGUAAAGGCCCACCAAGGCGACGAUCCGUAGCUGGUCUGAGAGGAUGAUCAGCCACACUGGAACUGAGACACGGUCCAGACUCCUACGGGAGGCAGCAGUGGGGAAUAUUGGACAAUGGGCGCAAGCCUGAUCCAGCCAUACCGCGUGGGUGAAGAAGGCCUUCGGGUUGUAAAGCCCUUUUGUUGGGAAAGAAAAGCAGCAGGUUAAUACCCCGCUGUUCUGACGGUACCCAAAGAAUAAGCACCGGCUAACUUCGUG